This 214-nucleotide ribosomal RNA is filed under the name uncultured bacterium. Its description in RNAcentral is "partial 16S ribosomal RNA". It matches the Rfam family "Bacterial small subunit ribosomal RNA", at positions 1289 to 1500 of the family's 1533-position model. The record is from RNAcentral.
CAGUUCGGAUCGCAGUCUGCAACUCGACUGCGUGAAGGUGGAGUCGCUAGUAAUCGCGGAUCAGCAACGCCGCGGUGAAUGCGUUCCCGGGCCUUGUACACACCGCCCGUCAAGUCAUGAAAGUGGGCAGCACCCGAAGACGGUGGCCUAACCCUUGUGGGGGGAGCCGUCUAAGGUGAGGCUCGUGAUUGGGACUAAGUCGUAACAAGGUAGC